AGCCUGAUGCAGCGACGCCGCGUGAGGGAUGACGGCCUUCGGGUUGUAAACCUCUUUCAGUAGGGAAGAAGCCGCAAGGUGACGGUACCUGCAGAAGAAGCGCCGGCUAACUACGUGCCAGCAGCCGCGGUAAUACGUAGGGCGCAAGCGUUAUCCGGAAUUAUUGGGCGUAAAGAGCUCGUAGGCGGUUUGUCGCGUCUGCCGUGAAAGUCCGGGGCUCAACUCCGGAUCUGCGGUGGGUACGGGCAGACUAGAGUGAUGUAGGGGAGACUGGAAUUCCUGGUGUAGCGGUGAAAUGCGCAGAUAUCAGGAGGAACACCGAUGGCGAAGGCAGGUCUCUGGGCAUUAACUGACGCUGAGGAGCGAAAGCAUGGGGAGCGAACAGGAUUAGAUACCCUGGUAGUCCAUGCCGUAAACGUUGGGCACUAGGUGUGGGGGACAUUCCACGUUUUCCGCGCCGUAGCUAACGCAUUAAGUGCCCCGCCUGGGGAGUACGGCCGCAAGGCUAAAACUCAAAGGAAUUGACGGGGGCCCGCACAAGCGGCGGAGCAUGCGGAUUAAUUCGAUGCAACGCGAAGAACCUUACCAAGGCUUGACAUGAACCGGUAACGCCUGGAAACAGGUGCCCCGCUUGCGGUC
RNAcentral lists this ribosomal RNA (639 nucleotides) under Arthrobacter sp. Se2Pt_1481. RNAcentral's name for it is "bacterial SSU rRNA". It matches the Rfam family "Bacterial small subunit ribosomal RNA", at positions 380 to 1028 of the family's 1533-position model. The record is from RNAcentral. Lineage: Bacteria; Bacillati; Actinomycetota; Actinomycetes; Micrococcales; Micrococcaceae.